This 253-nucleotide ribosomal RNA is filed under the name uncultured bacterium. RNAcentral describes it as "partial 16S ribosomal RNA". It matches the Rfam family "Bacterial small subunit ribosomal RNA", at positions 524 to 776 of the family's 1533-position model. The record is from RNAcentral.
UACGUAGGGGGCAAGCGUUGUCCGGAAUCAUUGGGCGUAAAGCGCGUGUAGGCGGCUCGGUAAGUCCGCUCUGAAAGCCCGGGGCUCAACCCCGGGAGGCGGGUGGAUACUGCUGAGCUCGAGUCCGGAAGAGGAGUGUGGAAUUCCUGGUGUAGCGGUGAAAUGCGCAGAUAUCAGGAGGAACACCAAUGGCGAAGGCAGAUCUCUGGGCCAUUACUGACGCUGAGGAGCGAAAGCAUGGGGAGCGAACAGG